This is a long non-coding RNA of Gasterosteus aculeatus aculeatus (three-spined stickleback), 3133 nucleotides long. The record is from Ensembl. NCBI's taxonomy places the organism in Eukaryota, Metazoa, Chordata, Actinopteri, Perciformes, Gasterosteidae.
CUCGAGUUAAAUUCACUAUAAUACAAUAUGUAUGAAAUCAUUACAUAUAAUUAUAAACUGCAUCAACAUAUUGACCGCGGAGUGUGCAGAUGUUUAAAUCAGGAAACAUUUAUUGCCAUAAUAUGUCAGACAUACAAGGAAUAUAUACACAAGUAAACUCAAUGGGCUUUACAUUAAAAUAUAGAGUAACACAAGGAUUAAUAAAUUCAACCCACUUGUAGCAGAGAAAAAACACAAUCAUCCAUUAAAAUGUAACGACAAACUCCCAGACACAGUAACUAAUUAAAAUGAAGACAAACAAAAUACCCCAAACUUCCUGUGGACCUGCUUACACACACACACACACACACACACACACACACACAAAUACAUACACACGGAGGUUUGCCUUCAGCAAUAUGGGCAACAAGUUUGAGCAGAUUUAAUGUGGCCGGACGUCCCCUGGUUGUUUCUCUCAUUGUUACACCCGGUGGAGCAAGUUCAUGGAAGACAUAUUGACUGCACAGAUCGUGGCGGUUAGUAAAGAUUAGAUGCGUUGUCCUGCCCAUCUUUCAGAAUGUUUAACUUAAUACAGAAAGAGCAGACGACUGGUAACCAAAGAGUCCACACGGGCACCUGGUAUGUAAAAAAGGGGAUCUUUAGGCUACAGUGUUGUAACGGGGAACAUUCCUCAGGGUAAACUGUCCCACCCGUUUGCACCACGGAGACAUUUGGAUUCACUCUACUGCCACCGUCUGCCUGAGAGCUGUUACCGCCUGUUGGCUGCAGGUCACCCGGCUGUCCGUCUGCUCAGUUUGGUCUUUUCACUUUUGUUAUUUGUCCCGUGGCUCUAUUCUUUUCUUUUGCUAUUGUAGAUGCCCGUGCAAAGGUUACCCAACAGUAGUUGAAUUAAGUAUUUGAACCAAUUUCAUUUCUAUUUUUUUUGUCUCUGGACAAUUACAAUGACUUACAAUCAAAAUGUUCUUAUUGGUUGAAUUCAGGCGCUUUUGGCUGAGGUCCGGCAUCAUGCACACACUGUAUUCUACAUUAAUACACAAAGCAUAUUUAUGUACACCGGCCUACAUGCUACUGGAUUGUCUUCACAACUUUCUUAUUUCUAUUAUUAUUUCUAGUGUCUAUUUUUUGUACUUACUCUACUGUUAUUUAUUUGAUUUGAUUAAUAAUUCAUUAUUCAGCUCUCUUAAGUUUGGAUUAUUUUUGCCUUCAUUGUAUCUUUGCCUGGUCAGUGUCUUGUGGUAUUUUCCAUUUGGAAUUCAUGAAUCUUAUCUCAUGUAAUUGUAUCUCUAGUACACGUUGAUACCAUUGUAACAGACCAGGAUAUGCAGUUCCGUAGUAUUAUUUGACUUGUACAGUAAAUCCAGUAGUACAUUUAGUACGCUGCUUUCAAAACGCACUUUGACCUGAAGACAGCUGCUCAUUCCAGCAGGUACAGAAGGGGAAUUGUCCUUGUCCUCACGUAAGACAUCUGGAAGACAGCGGGAGACAGUACAUUUUCUACCUCGGCCUUCUGUGCCGUCUACCACAGUUGAAUAAGCUAAUAACCUCAUCAUGACGCCACAGUUACAUGUUAUUAUUAUUUAUUCUGUAUAAACACUUCAUAUUCACAUGACACUGUACCAUUUAAAGUGAAGCUCGACACCUGCAGGCGCACUAACAUACAGACAUGAUUACGUCAUGACGGGAUGCUACGUAAUUAAGCUUAGCUUUCUGUUUGACAAGGUCACGUCGGCCCACUGACCACAGACGUACGUAUGCGGCUACCUCGGUACCACGUGUGUUCUCGUGAAACGUCAUCAGCUGUUCGCGUUCUAGGCUCGAUUCGUCCUUCUUGCUGAGGAAGGUUCCUCCCCUAGACGGAAGUAUCUGCCCGGCCGACGUGAUGAGAGCUGCUUAAGUUUUCCUUGCAACAUUUAAAUGGCGACGUUUCGUUCGGGCCGUUCACGAGAAACGCAGAUCGUGGCCGGAUUCGAAUUGUCAAACAAAGACAAGACCUCAUACCUCAUACCGUAAAUUCCUAAAUACUAUUCCGUGAGCUGCGUGGAAAACGUCACGGGCUCAAGGAAAGACGGUUAGGAGAAUUCACGAGGAGUUAGGAAAGGAAAACCGCGGUGUGUCAGGGAAUCCGACUCCCCUUUGACCAAGCUACGCGGUUCCCAUGCGACGGGAGACGCGUGUUAGUGACGUCACUCUGCAGCGGACUAUGGACAAACUACUUCUCUGAAGAUGGACUGAAGAAGCGUCUUAGGUGCCUUCAUGUGUUGUUACAGUGCUGAGUCAUGCAGACGACAUAAGGUCCAAAGUAUUACUUUAUUAACAAGGUUGCAACAUAAAUGAGUUAGUCACCGUUAGUCACAGCGUGAGUGUAUUUGAGGACAUUACCGUCCCCUUGAUGUUUGAGUAACAAGGAGACUAAACAGUAGGUGUGUAUGUGGCAUAUAGCCCCAUCCCUUAAAGUAAUAACUGUUUAAUUUUUGCUACUGUUUUAAACCUCCUCUUUACUUUAUGAACGCUUUAUAAAGCUAAUGCAGUGUGAUGUAAUACAACAGCCCUGAAUUAAAUGUUUACCCCGGUAGCGUUUUAUGUGUUUCUUCCGUCCAAUAUGAAUACUAAUAAGAUACACACCUGUCAUGGUUGGGUGACAUCCAGCUGCUGUAUUUUAAUGUACUGUGAUAAUAAUUCUCUCAUCUAACCCUCAUAUGGUUUACUCAUUAGCAAGACCAGCUGACGCGGUGACGCCAUCAAAUCAGCCGCUGUGCCGAAAUGACCGUUCUCCCAUUCCCGCGAAUCAGUCCGCUCUCGGCGUUGUACGUUGUUAUUGCCCCGUAUGUUACACACUACAGGAAAUAUGUCUUAAUGGAGUGUGCCAUAAAAGGAGACGAAUAAGAAGAAUGGAAUAAGAUACAAAUGUACAAGCAAAAGAUACGUAUGUAUUGGAAUGGAGUAUCUCCAUGAAAAUGUUUCGGUCAGUGGGCGACGGACUUUAUGAGGGGAAGAAGAUGUUUCUGUGGAGGACCUUGGUCCUGUGGUGCUAAAACUGGUUGUAUAAAAUCUCUCUUUAAAACAAGCUGCACUGGAGGAAGAGCAACAGGGGAAGACAGGAGGUGCGACAUGAGACAUUGCUAAUGGGAAAGUG